This 467-nucleotide ribosomal RNA is filed under the name uncultured bacterium. RNAcentral's name for it is "partial 16S ribosomal RNA". It matches the Rfam family "Bacterial small subunit ribosomal RNA", at positions 34 to 507 of the family's 1533-position model. The record is from RNAcentral.
UCCGCCCGCUGGCGGCGUGCUUAACACAUGCAAGUCGAACGGAAAGGCCUCUUUCGGGGGGUACUCGAGUGGCGAACGGGUGAGUAACACGUGAGUAACCUGCCCUUGACUUUGGGAUAACUUCAGGAAACUGGGGCUAAUACCGGAUAGGAGCUCCUGCUGCAUGGUGGGGGUUGGAAAGUUUCGGCGGUUGGGGAUGGACUCGCGGCUUAUCAGCUUGUUGGUGGGGUAGUGGCUUACCAAGGCUUUGACGGGUAGCCGGCCUGAGAGGGUGACCGGCCACAUUGGGACUGAGAUACGGCCCAGACUCCUACGGGAGGCAGCAGUGGGGAAUAUUGCACAAUGGGUGGAAGCCUGAUGCAGCAACGCCGUGUGCGGGAUGACGGCCUUCGGGUUGUAAACCGCUUUCGCUCAUGACGAAGCUUUGUGUGACGGUAGUGGGUAAAGAAGCACCGGCUAACUACGUG